UUGCAUAAGCAGCCAAAACCUCAACCUUAUUUUAGCUCUUAUUGCAUUGUGGAUACAAUUAACAGGUGUUACAAGCAUACUUUAUGCUACAUGACCCUAAGGAUAUAAACACCUCAGGUUACAUGAGGAAAAAAAGAACGUAUGAGAAAAAUAUUCGGCCACAUUACUUACUUGAGAAAAGGAAUAUGGUUGAUACAGUAAAUUUACACUAAAAAUUUUAGACACAUUUUGCUGAUUUCACUGUGAGGUCCACCUCUAUUCUAUACACCUCCAAAGCAUAAGACCAUCUCCCAAACUCAGUGGAUCAUGUUUAUGAGAUUCCCCUCCAAAAGCACAUCCUCGGCAACCAAGAAAAGACUCACGGAGCUCACCUAGAAGCCUGGUAUAUUAUGUGAAAUUUUAGUGCUGGCAGAAUUUCCUAGAGUUCAAUGUUUACUUGUGGGACAAAAAAAUAAUGGUUCUAGAAGUUACAAGUUUCGACUUGAACUUUAAAUUUGAAUGUAUUUUUGAAAUAUGUGUCCAUCUUCUGUACUUUAAAUCUGUAAUCAUAUUAAUGUCAUUUUUCUCACGUUCUUUCUUAAAACUUGUGAAGUUAAUGUAAUUUGUAUACUAACAUAAAGUACAUAUAUACAUUUCCUCUAAAUUUCUGAUAGCCGCCAAAAGGAAAAUGUCAUAAUGAUGUAGAAACUGACUUCUAUCAUGUAAGAUAAAUCAUAAUAUUUCCAACAAUUAUCCUAACAAUAGUUAUGGUAGUCUUGUGAAAAAUGACACUGAUUUGAUUCUUUUGAUCUAGAUUUGCAUGUGCUGUCUUUAUGUAAUCAAGUAAUAUUCUAGUCUUUUUUUUUUUGAGCCAGCAAUGAAGGCAAGAAAUUUAAAGGAAUACAUAUAUGAAAUGUUAAAAAUUAUUAUCUUUAUGACUCAGUUGGUGAAACAAAAAUUUAAAAAAUAUGUCUGCUUAUGUUUCUUACUCCUCUCAUUUCCGUAUUUGGGAUAUAUUUGUAGAGAAAUGUUUUAAUUCUGAAGGUUCCUAAAAAUCGUGAAUCUAUAGAGUCAAUACAUUAAAAAUUACUUGAAGUCCUGGUGAAUUGAAAGG
This is a long non-coding RNA of Hyaena hyaena (striped hyena), 1093 nucleotides long. RefSeq lists it as uncharacterized. Lineage: Eukaryota; Metazoa; Chordata; Mammalia; Carnivora; Hyaenidae. The transcript has 6 exons. The record is from RefSeq and is a predicted model, not a curated record.